UACGAAGGGGGCUAGCGUUGCUCGGACUCACUGGGCGUAAAGAGCUCGUAGGCGGCUCGGUAAGUCAGGUGUCAAGUCCUCAGGCUCAACCUGGGGCUCCACCUGAUACUGCUGUGGCUAGAGUCCGGUAGGGGAGCGUGGAAUUCCUGGUGUAGCGGUGAAAUGCGCAGAUAUCAGGAGGAACACCAGCGGCGAAGGCGGCGCUCUGGGCCGGAACUGACGCUGAGGAGCGAAAGCGUGGGUAGCAAACAGG
This 253-nucleotide ribosomal RNA is filed under the name uncultured bacterium. RNAcentral describes it as "partial 16S ribosomal RNA". It matches the Rfam family "Bacterial small subunit ribosomal RNA", at positions 524 to 776 of the family's 1533-position model. The record is from RNAcentral.